UGUGUGGUCUCUCGUGAUCCAAAGUACAAUCUCCCAUUUUCUACCUCCGAUCCAUUUCUUACCCUGUGUGUCACAAGGUUGUCCAUCUAAUAUCUUCAGACCCUGAAGCGUAAUACCAAGAGUUCACAAUGUCAAAUCGCUAUACUCAUAACAGCCAUUAUCGUGCGUUAAAUUGAGUGAAUGGCCCUGCCUUCGGUCUCAAAUAUUCUCUUAUCCUGAUCCUUGUGGCACAGAAUGUCCUCUUUCAUAUAGCAAAAGGACUGCAUUUUUCGAAGGAUAUGCGGAGAAUAGUAGAGCUUGUAUUUCCUUAUCGUCUUCGCGCGUCGGAACGUGAGUAGGGCAGCAGUGGAAAUACUGGACGUCGAGGAGAAUACCUCCUAGGCGUUUAAUGAGAGGGAAACAAGUGCACGCAGUCAAAUACACGACACGCCUUAUUAAAACGUAAGUAAAUACCUUUUUUUUUCUCAAAAAUCACCACCGAGCCGAGGGGAGCGGUGUUUGCAUUACUUCCCCCGGCCUGGCAUACAUUCUUUGUCAAAACCACUAGCCUAAGGACGAGGCUGCAUUAUUGAGCACCCACGGGGUGUCGUCAUAGUCAUAGGGUCAGCAGCCUGCCUCGACUUCUCGUUAUCUUCUUUCCUCA
Non-coding RNA from Cinara cedri, 643 nucleotides. The record is from the annotation of a GenBank genome assembly. Lineage: Eukaryota; Metazoa; Arthropoda; Insecta; Hemiptera; Aphididae.